Non-coding RNA from Propithecus coquereli (Coquerel's sifaka), 517 nucleotides. The record is from the annotation of a RefSeq genome assembly. NCBI's taxonomy places the organism in Eukaryota, Metazoa, Chordata, Mammalia, Primates, Indriidae.
GCAUCGGGGGCGCCUCCACCAUGGCCUGGACUCCUCUCCUCCUCGGCCUCCUCGCUCACUGCACAGGCUCCGUGGCCUCCUAUGAGCUGACUCAGCCGCCCUCGGUGUCAGUGUCCCCGGGACAGACAGCCAGGGUCACCUGUGGGGGGAACAGCAUUGGAAGUAGGAAUGUGCACUGGUACCAGCAGAAGCCCGACAGGCCCCUGUGCUGAUUAUACAUAGUGACAGCAACCGGCCCUCAGGGAUCCCUGAGCAACUCUCCGGUUCCAACUCCGGGAACACAGCCACCCUGGCCAUCGGCGGGGCCCAGGCUGGGGACGAGGCUGACUAUUACUGUCAAAUGUGGGACAGCAGUAGUGAUCAUCUCACGGUGACACAGGCAGAUGGGGAAGAAGAUCCCGCAUCUGACACGGAGAUUCAACUGCAGCCGCUGCGUGGCUGGAUGUGGGCCGGCCACUUCCACCUCCCGGACGCGCUCCACCUCGGAGACAUCAGAGAGGAAAUGAAACGCAAAUGA